CACCUCUCAGGGUCACCCCUGGAGAGUUUCCAGUACUCUACCAAUUUCGACUGUGGGAGGGAGAGUCAAGCAGAGGCAUAUCCAUUCCAUUCCUAGUUGGGACAGAGGCUAGCUAACGGAAGGCAAUCUGCUACAAGU
This is a non-coding RNA of Ornithorhynchus anatinus (platypus), 138 nucleotides long. The record is from Rfam. NCBI's taxonomy places the organism in Eukaryota, Metazoa, Chordata, Mammalia, Monotremata, Ornithorhynchidae.